CCACGGAGAAGGAGUGCUUUUCACGUACGCGGCUUCUUCUCGAGCAGAAAUGCCUCAUCGAUGUGCUGCUGUAGGCUGUACGAACUCUAGCAAGAAAGCACCGAAGAAACGUUUCUUCAGAUUCCCUGCGGGCAAUCUUCACGCAGCAAAAAGGAAGAAAUGGGUGCAAGCGAUGCGACGUGUAAACGAAGACGGAUCUCCAUGGGAGCCGACAGCCAACUCACGCGUAUGCAGCGACCACUUCGUCACAGGGGCGCCGUCGCGCGUUAUUCACCAUCCGGAUUAUGUGCCGUCGGUCUUUAAACACAAGUGUUCGACCAGCACUGGAGCACUGGAACGCUUUGAAAGAUUAAGAAAGAGGCAAGGUCAUGCCAAGGCUCAGCGGACAAGCCAUGUUUCAAGCACCAAAGCACCUGGCGUACAACACUCGCAGCAUGCU
Long non-coding RNA from Ornithodoros turicata, 439 nucleotides. RefSeq lists it as uncharacterized. The transcript is spliced from 3 exons. Lineage: Eukaryota; Metazoa; Arthropoda; Arachnida; Ixodida; Argasidae. The record is from RefSeq and is a predicted model, not a curated record.